CCUGUCCCUAGAGGCUGUGCAGGUAUGGCUGCUGUAUCACGUCAGUAGGCUGCAGAGAGGAGAAAGGCUAUGUCUGUGCUCAGUGUUCUGACCUAAGAACAUCUGAGUGAUUAGUAUUCCCUGAAA
Apodemus sylvaticus (European woodmouse) is the source of this 126-nucleotide small nucleolar RNA. RefSeq annotates it as small nucleolar RNA SNORA17. NCBI's taxonomy places the organism in Eukaryota, Metazoa, Chordata, Mammalia, Rodentia, Muridae. The record is from RefSeq and is a predicted model, not a curated record. The transcript has a single exon.